RNAcentral lists this transfer RNA (77 nucleotides) under Caudoviricetes sp. RNAcentral describes it as "tRNA-Met". It matches the Rfam family "tRNA". Rfam says of the family: Transfer RNA (tRNA) molecules are approximately 80 nucleotides in length. Their secondary structure includes four short double-helical elements and three loops (D, anti-codon, and T loops). The record is from RNAcentral. Lineage: Duplodnaviria; Heunggongvirae; Uroviricota; Caudoviricetes.
GUACCUGUAACUCAAUAGGAAAGAGUAGACGACUCAUAAUCGUUAAGUUGUAAGUUCGAGUCUUACCGGGUACACCA